This 1404-nucleotide ribosomal RNA is filed under the name uncultured bacterium. RNAcentral's name for it is "partial 16S ribosomal RNA". It matches the Rfam family "Bacterial small subunit ribosomal RNA". The record is from RNAcentral.
AGAGUUUUAUCCUGGCUCAGGAUGAACGCUAGCGGCAGGCUUAACACAUGCAAGUCGAGGGGCAGCGGGGAGGAAGCUUGCUUUCUCCGCCGGCGACCGGCGCACGGGUGAGUAACACGUAUGCAACCUGCCCCUGUCAGGGGGACAACCCGCCGAAAGGCGGGCUAAACCCGCGUACAUGCCACCGGGGCAUCCCGGAGGCAGGAAAGGCUUCGGCCGGACAGGGAUGGGCAUGCGGCGCAUUAGGCAGUAGGCGGGGUAACGGCCCACCUAACCGACGAUGCGUAGGGGUUCUGAGAGGAAGGUCCCCCACACUGGUACUGAGACACGGACCAGACUCCUACGGGAGGCAGCAGUGAGGAAUAUUGGUCAAUGGUCGGGAGACUGAACCAGCCAAGCCGCGUGAGGGAGGAAGGUACAGAGUAUCGUAAACCUCUUUUGUCAGGGAACAAAGACUGGGACGCGUCCCCGGAUGAGUGUACCUGAAGAAAAAGCAUCGGCUAACUCCGUGCCAGCAGCCGCGGUAAUACGGAGGAUGCGAGCGUUAUCCGGAUUUAUUGGGUUUAAAGGGUGCGCAGGCGGUCUGUUAAGUCAGCGGUCAAAGCCCGGGGCUCAACCCCGGCCCGCCGUUGAAACUGGCAGUCUCGAGUUGGAGAGAAGUAUGCGGAAUGCGCGGUGUAGCGGUGAAAUGCAUAGAUAUCGCGCAGAACUCCGAUUGCGAAGGCAGCAUGCCGGCUCCACACUGACGCUGAGGCACGAAAGCGUGGGUAUCGAACAGGAUUAGAUACCCUGGUAGUCCACGCAGUAAACGAUGAAUGCUGGCUGUCCGGGGGGAUUGACCCCUGGGUGGCGAAGCGAAAGCGAUAAGCAUUCCACCUGGGGAGUACGCCGGCAACGGUGAAACUCAAAGGAAUUGACGGGGGCCCGCACAAGCGGAGGAACAUGUGGUUUAAUUCGAUGAUACGCGAGGAACCUUACCCGGGCUCAAACGGGGAGUGACUCAGGCAGAGACGCCUGUUUCCCACGGGACACUCCCCGAGGUGCUGCAUGGUUGUCGUCAGCUCGUGCCGUGAGGUGUCGGCUUAAGUGCCAUAACGAGCGCAACCCCCGCGUGCAGUUGCUAACAGAUAACGCUGAGGACUCUGCACGGACUGCCGGCGCAAGCCGCGAGGAAGGCGGGGAUGACGUCAAAUCAGCACGGCCCUUACGUCCGGGGCGACACACGUGUUACAAUGGGUGGUACAGCGGGAAGCCAGGCGGCGACGCCGAGCGGAACCCGAAAUCCACUCUCAGUUCGGAUCGGAGUCUGCAACCCGACUCCGUGAAGCUGGAUUCGCUAGUAAUCGCGCAUCAGCCAUGGCGCGGUGAAUACGUUCCCGGGCCUUGCACACACCGCCCGUCAAG